CUCCUCAUCCUUUCGUUCUGCAGUGCGACAUGACAAUGUUCCUCCUUCUACCUCCCGUAUUAUACCAGUCUUGUCACCCGUGGCUCCAGCAGUUCAAUAUUUGUCUACUCCAACACUCUUUCCCACUUGGGGUCCCCCAUUACAGUCCACACCUACUCCCUCAUCAGUUCAUUUCUCUAGUGCUCCAUCCGUUCCUAUGACUCCUCAAAUUCUAGUUCAGCCCACUUAUACAUCAGUUCAGCCCACUCAUACAUCAGUUCAGCCCACUCA
This 270-nucleotide long non-coding RNA is filed under the name Phaseolus vulgaris (common bean). RNAcentral's name for it is "long non-coding RNA (PVUL_LNC001804)". The record is from RNAcentral. Lineage: Eukaryota; Viridiplantae; Streptophyta; Magnoliopsida; Fabales; Fabaceae.